UUCUUUGAAGAUUUUUCCAGCACAAGUUGUUGGACCCUCCACAGCAAAGGUUGGGGAAAAUGUAGAGUUAACGUGCGGCAUCUCUAACAUUCAGAGCUCAAAUGCAGAUGCUGUCAUGUAUUUGGUUAAAAAUGGAGUUGGAGAGAGAUUAGAAAUACUUGGAAAUAAAGAUGAGCACACCUUCACUUUAAGGAAUAUUUCAUUACUGGACUCUGGUACCUACAGCUGCGUGUACUCAUUUACAGGAUAUCCUCCGAAAAACGUCAAAGAAUCAGGAAUGAACUCAAUCCACGUACAAGUCACAGAGCCAAGAUAUGAAGUUAUACUCGCUGAAACAUAUGAUCCAGUGCGGAAGAGAAAUAUUUUACGAUUAGUAUUCUCG
Molecule: long non-coding RNA, 382 nt
Organism: Ictalurus furcatus (blue catfish)
Lineage: Eukaryota; Metazoa; Chordata; Actinopteri; Siluriformes; Ictaluridae
Exons: 3
Source: RefSeq, a predicted model, not a curated record